RNAcentral lists this transfer RNA (73 nucleotides) under Stegodyphus mimosarum. It matches the Rfam family "tRNA". Rfam says of the family: Transfer RNA (tRNA) molecules are approximately 80 nucleotides in length. Their secondary structure includes four short double-helical elements and three loops (D, anti-codon, and T loops). The record is from Rfam by way of RNAcentral. Lineage: Eukaryota; Metazoa; Arthropoda; Arachnida; Araneae; Eresidae.
GCUUUUGUGGUGUAGUGGUUAGCACGUUCGGCGCAUAUCCGAGAGGUCCGCGGUUCGAAACCCGGCGGGGGCA